This 24-nucleotide non-coding RNA is filed under the name Arabidopsis thaliana (thale cress). The record is from RNAcentral. Lineage: Eukaryota; Viridiplantae; Streptophyta; Magnoliopsida; Brassicales; Brassicaceae.
GAUCUGCACUUAAUUCAUGGCGAC